This is a long non-coding RNA of Oreochromis aureus, 315 nucleotides long. RefSeq lists it as uncharacterized. The transcript is spliced from 2 exons. The record is from RefSeq and is a predicted model, not a curated record. NCBI's taxonomy places the organism in Eukaryota, Metazoa, Chordata, Actinopteri, Cichliformes, Cichlidae.
AAGCCGUUUCAGAACAUUUUGCUCUUCAUAUUUGAGUUUGCCAUGCUUGAAUAUGCCGUGAAUAUGAAGGUGGAAUAUGGGGGAGAGCAGAAGUGCGUUGAAGUUCCACAAAGUGAUGAAUGAAGGACGUGCAUAUUGUAUUGAAGAAAUAAGUGAUGAGAAUGCUGUUAUUUAUUUGCAUUUACCAGCUCACCUAUGUCAGACCUUUUGAUAAACAAAAUUCUAAUGAAAGUGAGAACAUGUACAUUGUUACAUCUUUCAGAAAAUGUUUUGCAAUUGUGGUGCACAGUUCAGAAUAAAUGUUUUUUAAAACCA